UACGUAGGGCGCAAGCGUUGUCCGGAAUUAUUGGGCGUAAAGAGCUCGUAGGCGGUUUGUCGCGUCUGCUGUGAAAACCUAAGGCUCAACCUUGGGCUUGCAGUGGGUACGGGCAGACUAGAGUGCGGUAGGGGUGACUGGAAUUCCUGGUGUAGCGGUGGAAUGCGCAGAUAUCAAGAGGAACACCUGAGGUGAAGACGGGUUGCUGGGCCAACACUGACGCUGAUGCGCGAAAGCCAGGGGAGCAAACGGG
RNAcentral lists this ribosomal RNA (253 nucleotides) under uncultured bacterium. Its description in RNAcentral is "partial 16S ribosomal RNA". It matches the Rfam family "Bacterial small subunit ribosomal RNA", at positions 524 to 776 of the family's 1533-position model. The record is from RNAcentral.